Molecule: ribosomal RNA, 253 nt
Filed under: uncultured bacterium
Lineage: Bacteria
Description: partial 16S ribosomal RNA
Rfam family: Bacterial small subunit ribosomal RNA
Source: RNAcentral
UACGGAGGGAGCUAGCGUUGUUCGGAAUUACUGGGCGUAAAGCGCACGUAGGCGGCUAUUCAAGUCGGGGGUGAAAGCCCGGGGCUCAACCCCGGAACUGCCCUCGAAACUAGAUAGCUAGAAUCUUGGAGAGGCGAGUGGAAUUCCGAGUGUAGAGGUGAAAUUCGUAGAUAUCAGGAAGAACACCAAUGGCGAAAGCAGCUCUCUGGGACGGUACUGACGCUGAGACGCGAAAGCGUGGGGAGCGAACAGG